This 294-nucleotide unclassified non-coding RNA is filed under the name fungal sp. Its description in RNAcentral is "partial internal transcribed spacer region". The stretch from base 1 to 46 matches the Rfam family "Eukaryotic small subunit ribosomal RNA", at positions 1786 to 1831 of the family's 1831-position model. The record is from RNAcentral. Lineage: Eukaryota; Fungi.
AAGUCGUAACAAGGUUUCCGUAGGUGAACCUGCGGAAGGAUCAUUAUAGAAUCAAAAUAAAACGUGUGAAAGAAGAGAAGCCUCCCCCCAAAAAGGGGGGCUACGCGUCCCCUAUAGGCAGAUCCCUUUCUCACAAAACCGCGCAAACGGUUUAUCCUUGUUUAUGAGCACUCCUGUUUCCUCGGCGGGUUCGCCCGCCGAUGGACCCAUUGUUCAACGCUUAGGAUGCAACCAGUGUUGUCUGAGCUAUAUGCAAAAACAUCAAAACUUUCAACAACGGAUCUCUUGGUUCUG